This 406-nucleotide ribosomal RNA is filed under the name uncultured bacterium. RNAcentral's name for it is "partial 16S ribosomal RNA". It matches the Rfam family "Bacterial small subunit ribosomal RNA", at positions 29 to 526 of the family's 1533-position model. The record is from RNAcentral.
AUUGAACGCUGGCGGCAGGCCUAACACAUGCAAGUCGAACGAGCGGCGGACGGGUGAGUAAUGUCUGUGAAUCUGCCUGAUGGUGGGGGAUAACUACUGGAAACUGUAGCUCCUACCGCAUACCACCGGUUGUGCCCAGAUGGGUUUAGCUAGUAGGUGGGGUAAAGGCUCACCUAGGCGACGAUCCCGAACUGGUCUGAGAGGAUGACCAGCCAAAAUGGAACAGAGACACGGGCCAGAAUCCGACGGGAGGCAGCAGUGGGGAAGAUUGCACAAUGGGCGAAAGCCUGAAGCAACCAUGCCGCGUGUAGGGAGAAGGCCUUCGGGUUGUAAAGUACUUUCAGCGGGGAGGCGUUACCCGCAGAAGGAGCAACGGAUAACUCCGUGCCAGCAGCCGCGGUAAUAC